UACGUAGGGUGCGAGCGUUGUCAGGAAUUAUUGGGCGUAAAGAGCUCGUAGGCGGUUUGUCGCGUCGGCCGUGAAAUCUCCACGCUUAACGUGGAGCGUGCGGUCGAUACGGGCAGACUUGAGUUCGGUAGGGGAGACUGGAAUUCCUGGUGUAGCGGUGAAAUGCGCAGAUAUCAGGAGGAACACCGGUGGCGAAGGCGGGUCUCUGGGCCGAUACUGACGCUGAGGAGCGAAAGCGUGGGGAGCGAACAGG
This 253-nucleotide ribosomal RNA is filed under the name uncultured bacterium. RNAcentral's name for it is "partial 16S ribosomal RNA". It matches the Rfam family "Bacterial small subunit ribosomal RNA", at positions 524 to 776 of the family's 1533-position model. The record is from RNAcentral.